GUUUUGGUGAAGAUGGAGCGAUUAUCUUUGACCUAUCCCCACUGUCCUGAGAGUCGGUGCAACUCUGAGCUCUCAAGCUUCUCCGCAGCUGCAGGUUGGGGCUAGCUUAGUGGCUGGGGCAUUCUCAGCACAGGAAAAUAGAAGGUAUGAUUCUGAAUUCAAAGGGAGGGUGGGAAAACCAUCCUCCCAGAAGGAGGCAAGACUAUUCACACAUCUAUUGGAUUCUGCUCCUGUGGAGGGGAAGGAUGUGAGGGACGGAGAAAGGAAAGUGGACAGCUUUUGAGAGGUGAGAAGACAAACAGCUCCCGACCUGUUCAGCAACACAAGCUUCUCUGUCAGUGCUGGUGGUACAAGGAGGAGAUAAUGUAUUCAAAGAGGUUUCCAGAUUUCCUGUGCUAUUGACCAAAUGACUGCAGGUACCCAAAGGUAAACUUUGAAUGUUGUGCCCAGCGACCAGCCCUGGAGAGUGGAGUCCUUCAUGUGGCAAGGGCAGGGACCACACAAGCUUCCCCUGCGCUACCCUUCCACCAGCAUGCCCCAUCAGCCUUGACCCCUUGGGACGAGAGGGG
This is a long non-coding RNA of Mauremys reevesii (Reeves's turtle), 569 nucleotides long. RefSeq lists it as uncharacterized. The transcript has 3 exons. The record is from RefSeq and is a predicted model, not a curated record. NCBI's taxonomy places the organism in Eukaryota, Metazoa, Chordata, Testudines, Geoemydidae.